Long non-coding RNA from Aegilops tauschii subsp. strangulata, 800 nucleotides. RefSeq lists it as uncharacterized. Lineage: Eukaryota; Viridiplantae; Streptophyta; Magnoliopsida; Poales; Poaceae. The record is from RefSeq and is a predicted model, not a curated record.
UGUGUGUCUAUAAGAGCGUAUGCGUUUGUACUAUGUUAAAAAAGCAAUUAAUAUUGGAUUCGGAUGCAAGCUAAGAAUAAUUUGCUCCGACACGAGAUAACAAGUUGUACAUUCACCAUAUUUGGCGUGUAAAUCAAAUAGUAAAAUUGAUGCACCAGAUAAGCCCUAUACUAAUUUACGCCCACUUAAUGCAUUUAAUACGAGAUAAUUCCCACUAGUAUUCUAAUUGUACGAUAAUUAAUGCAUUAACUAUUUGGUACUCCGUGAUCUCCGCCUAUUUGGGUCUAUAUAAACGCAACGAAGGGUGAGCGUGCCCACUUCAUCAAGUUUUCUUGGGUCCUCAUGGUCAUGGCAGUCUUUACGAAGAACAGGGUUGUUGCCGUGUGCUUGGGGGCUCUCAUGCUCAUGGCGACCCUUGAUCUCUCCUCGGCAGGUUCAGUCUAUGUUGGAUGUUUCGAGCCACACCAGAACUGCUUCCCAGAUGACUGUCAGAAGACAUGCGUGGACAAUAUUCCUGGAAACAAUCUGAAAGGUUCCUGCGAGCCGGACCAUGGCACACUAAAACCGUAUCCCGCGCUUCAGUGUUGUUGCUAUAGAGACCCUCCGGUCAUGAGUAACAUGGGCGCUUAAUUAGUCGACGACGGGGAUAAGACCAUCAGUUCGAUCCACCUGUUGUACACAACUAAUAGAUCAAUAUCUUUGAGGAAAGUGAGAUUAACAAAGUCGUGAGCUAAGUCAAAUAAGUAGUAUAUGUUAUGAUUAUUGAGAGAAAUAAUAAUAUUGUUGUCUGCGGUGCAUUA